RNAcentral lists this ribosomal RNA (554 nucleotides) under Leptalpheus canterakintzi. RNAcentral's name for it is "partial small subunit ribosomal RNA". The stretch from base 195 to 554 matches the Rfam family "Microsporidia small subunit ribosomal RNA", at positions 751 to 1211 of the family's 1311-position model. Lineage: Eukaryota; Metazoa; Arthropoda; Malacostraca; Decapoda; Alpheidae. The record is from RNAcentral.
GGGCAAGAGAGGAAUUUUCGGGUUAGGGCUAGGAGAGUUGCUGGUUAUUGUAUUUAGGUAAAUAAGUGAAGCGGUGGAAUGUGUUAAUUUUGGGUUCGAGAAUAUAGAUGACUUGCUUUUUUGAUUUCUUAGAGAUUUAGGUUAAGACCAGGAUUAGAUACCCUGUUAUGCUUAGUAGAAAUUUCGUGUGACUUGGAGUAGUAAACAGAUAUGAUCUCGAAACUUAAAGAAUUUGGCGGUAUUUAAGUCUAGUUAGAGGAACCUGUGCUGUAAACGAUAAACCACGAAUAUCUUACUUUGUCUGGGAAAGACAGUUCGUAUACCGCCAUUAUAGGCAAUCUCUAAAGAGGUUUGUUGGGAUAGACUUUGGUUUAGUAUAUUAGGUCAAGGUGCGGCUAAUGAUAAAGAAGUUAUGGGUUACAUUAUUAUUAGUGUAUAUGGAUCAGUGUAUUAAAUCUGUGGUUGUGAAAGUGGAUUUAAUAGUAAAUGGGGUAAAUUAUGCCUUUUUGAUAUUAGCUCUUAGAUAUGUACACAUCGCCCGUCGUUCUCGCUUU